Molecule: small nucleolar RNA, 96 nt
Organism: Aegilops tauschii subsp. strangulata
Lineage: Eukaryota; Viridiplantae; Streptophyta; Magnoliopsida; Poales; Poaceae
Source: RefSeq, a predicted model, not a curated record
CCCUGGCUAUGAUGAUAACCACUUUUAGCAAACAUGCCAGUUCUGCUUCUGAUAAUUCAUGACUGGAAAAAAUGUUAUAUAACAUCUGAGCCAUUG